Molecule: ribosomal RNA, 759 nt
Filed under: Forsteropsalis inconstans
Lineage: Eukaryota; Metazoa; Arthropoda; Arachnida; Opiliones; Neopilionidae
Description: partial large subunit ribosomal RNA
Rfam family: Eukaryotic large subunit ribosomal RNA
Source: RNAcentral
GUGGGAUGAACCAAACGCCGGGUUAAGGGGCCCGAUGCGAGACGCUCAUGAGAUCCCAUGAAAGGUGUUGGUUGCUAUAGACAGCAGGACGGUGGCCAUGGAAGUCGGAAUCCGCUAAGGAGUGUGUAACAACUCACCUGCCGAAGCAACUAGCCCUGAAAAUGGAUGGCGCUUCAGCGUCGACCCCAUACCCGGCCGCCGCGGCCGAAAAGCCUCGUGUUUUAAGCCGCGGUGAGUAGGAGGGGCGCGGAGGCGAGCGUCGAAGGUGCCGGGCGUAAGCCCGCCUGGAGCCGCCUCCGGCGCAGAUCUUGGUGGUAGUAGCAAAUACUCAAGUGAGAACCUUGAGGACUGAGGUGGAGAAGGGUUCCAUGUGAACAGCAGUUGAACAUGGGUCAGUCGGUCCUAAGGGAUAGGAGAAAUCCGUUCCGAGGCGGGACCUAAUUUAUUAUGAAAGUCCCGCUGAUGACCGAAAGGGAAUCGGGUUAAUAUUCCCGAACCCGGACGCGGAGAUCGUCCUCUUCGGAGGUACAUUGCGGUAACGCAAACGAGCUCGGAGACGUCGACGGGAGCACCGGGAAGAGUUAUCUUUUCUUUGUAAGGAUUCGACUCCCUGGAAUCGGCUCGCCCGGAGAUAGGGAUGGUGUUUCCGUAAAGCACCGCGCCUCUUGCGGUGUCCGGAUCGCUCCCGUCGGCCCUUGAAAAUCCGAGUGAGAGAUAGUGAUUUUCGUGCCGGACCGUACCCAUAUCCGCAGCAGGUCU